This 85-nucleotide transfer RNA is filed under the name Deltaproteobacteria bacterium. RNAcentral's name for it is "tRNA-Leu". It matches the Rfam family "tRNA". From Rfam's summary of the family: Transfer RNA (tRNA) molecules are approximately 80 nucleotides in length. The record is from RNAcentral. Lineage: Bacteria; Pseudomonadati; Myxococcota; Myxococcia.
GCGAGAGUGGCGGAACUGGCAGACGCGCUGGACUUAGGAUCCAGUACCUUCGGGUGUAGGGGUUCAAAUCCCCUCUCUCGCACCA